This 334-nucleotide long non-coding RNA is filed under the name Elaeis guineensis (African oil palm). RNAcentral's name for it is "long non-coding RNA (EGUI_LNC061130)". Lineage: Eukaryota; Viridiplantae; Streptophyta; Magnoliopsida; Arecales; Arecaceae. The record is from RNAcentral.
GGGGGUCUUCUUCUUCUUCAGAGGAGUUCGGUUGGAGCUCCAGGCCGUCAAUUCCACCCUGUUCAGGUUUGGCUUCCUCCGAGAUAGUGCAUUCCACUAUAAAAUCAGUAAAUAUCUGGGCUUUCACUGUCGGUCUAGGUCGAUAGUUGAUGUCAAAUUUUGUGAGCUCGAUCGCCCAUUUCGCUAUCCUCCCAGAGGCAUCUGCCUGGUGUAGAAUCGCCUUGAUCGGCUGGUCGGUGAGCAAUGUUACAGUGUGCCCUUGAAAGUAGGGUCAGAGCCUCCAGGCUGUAAUCAAUAGGGCAUAAGUUAGUUUCUCCAAUUUAGUAUACCUGGU